UUAAGCAUAUCAAUAAGCGGAGGAAAAGAAACUAACAAGGAUUCCCCUAGUAACUGCGAGUGAAGCGGGAAAAGCUCAAAUUUAAAAUCUGGCGGCUUUUGGCUGUCCGAGUUGUAGUCUGGAGAAGUGCUUUCCGCGCUGGACCGUGUACAAGUCUCUUGGAACAGAGCGUCAUAGAGGGUGAGAAUCCCGUCUUUGACACGGACUACCAGUGCUUUGUGAUGCGCUCUCAAAGAGUCGAGUUGUUUGGGAAUGCAGCUCAAAAUGGGUGGUAAAUUCCAUCUAAAGCUAAAUAUUGGCGAGAGACCGAUAGCGAACAAGUACCGUGAGGGAAAGAUGAAAAGCACUUUGGAAAGAGAGUUAAACAGUACGUGAAAUUGCUGAAAGGGAAACGCUUGAAGUCAGUCGCGUUGACCAGAACUCAGCCUUGCUUUUGCUUGGUGCACUUUCUGGUUGACGGGCCAGCAUCAAUUUUGAUUGUUGGAUAAAGGCUGGGGGAAUGUGGCACCUUCGGGUGUGUUAUAGCCCUCGGUCACAUACAACAGUUGGGAUUGAGGAUCUCAGCACGCCUUUAUGGUCGGGGUUCGCCCACGUUCGUGCUUAGGAUGCUGGCAUAAUGGCUUUAAACGACCCGUCUUGAAACACGGACCAAGGAGUCUAACAUGCCUGCGAGUGUUUGGGUGGAAAACCCGAGCGCGUAAUGAAAGUGAAAGUUGAGAUCCCUGUCAUGGGGAGCAUCGACGCCCGGACCUGACCUUCUGUGACGGCUCCGCGGUAGAGCAUGUAUGUUGGGACCCGAAAGAUGGUGAACUAUGCCUGAAUAGGGUGAAGCCAGAGGAAACUCUGGUGGAGGCUCGUAGCGAUUCUGACGUGCAAAUCGAUCGUCAAAUUUGGGUAUAGGGGCGAAAGACUAAUCGAACCAUCUAGUAGCUGGUUCCUGCC
Molecule: ribosomal RNA, 942 nt
Filed under: Adustoporia sinuosa
Lineage: Eukaryota; Fungi; Basidiomycota; Agaricomycetes; Polyporales; Adustoporiaceae
Description: LSU rRNA
Rfam family: Eukaryotic large subunit ribosomal RNA
Source: RNAcentral